RNAcentral lists this ribosomal RNA (397 nucleotides) under uncultured bacterium. RNAcentral's name for it is "partial 16S ribosomal RNA". It matches the Rfam family "Bacterial small subunit ribosomal RNA", at positions 523 to 918 of the family's 1533-position model. The record is from RNAcentral.
AUACGUAGGGGGCGAGCGUUGUCCGGAAUGAUUGGGCGUAAAGGGCGCGUAGGCGGCGCGGUAAGUCUGGAGUGAAAGUCCUGCUUUCAAGGUGGGAAUUGCUUUGGAUACUGCCGCGCUUGAGUGCAGGAGAGGUUAUCGGAAUUCCCGGUGUGGCGGUGAAAUGCGUAGAGAUCGGGAGGAACACCAGUGGCGAAGGCGGGUAACUGGACUGCAACUGACGCUGGGGCGCGAAAGUGUGGGGAGCAAACAGGAUUAGAUACCCUGGUAGUCCACACUGUAAACGAUGAAUGCUAGGUGUAAGAGGUAUCGACCCCUUUUGUGCCGGAGUCAACACAAUAAGCAUUCCGCCUGGGGAGUACGGCCGCAAGGUUGAAACUCAAAUGAAUUGACGGGG